ACUACGGGUGGCAGCAGUGGGGAAUAUUGCACAAUGGGGGAAACCCUGAUGCAGCGACGCCGCGUGAAGGAAGAAGUAUUUCGGUAUGUAAACUUCUAUCAGCAGGGAAGAAAAUGACGGUACCUGACUAAGAAGCCCCGGCUAACUACGUGCCAGCAGCCGCGGUAAUACGUAGGGGGCAAGCGUUAUCCGGAUUUACUGGGUGUAAAGGGAGCGUAGGCGGUUUAGCAAGUCAGAAGUGAAAGCCCGGGGCUCAACUCCGGGACUGCUUUUGAAAAUGUUGAACUAGAUGGCAGGAGAGGUAAGUGGAAUUCCUGGUGUAGCGGUGAAAUGCGUAGAUAUUAGGAGGAACACCAGUGGCGAAGGCGGCUUACUGGACUGUAAAUGACGCUGAGGCUCGAAAGCGUGGGGAGCAAACAGGAUUAGAUACCCGAGUAGUC
This 440-nucleotide ribosomal RNA is filed under the name uncultured bacterium. Its description in RNAcentral is "partial 16S ribosomal RNA". It matches the Rfam family "Bacterial small subunit ribosomal RNA", at positions 338 to 795 of the family's 1533-position model. The record is from RNAcentral.